ACGUAGAUACAUGAUGAUGAAACACAACUUUUUCUUUCUCUAUUCACCAAAAUCGAGAGGAGGGAAUGCCGACUAUGGUAGAGUAGAAGUGGGCUUGCUCCUGGUCAUGUUGUUUAUUUAAGGCGAGUCAUUACAUAAAGCAUCUCGUACAUAAGCAAGCACCAUAGCUUUUCGUAGGAACAAGACAAAGGAUGUCCAUUAAGAAAUCUGGGAGCCCAUUCGCUGUCAUUUUCAUGAGGCAUUUGUGUGUUGAGUACUCGACACGUCGUGGAAUUAUUUCUUGAAAAUGGAAGCUAACCAAUCGAGAAUUGGACAAUACACAGUAGUCAGUCGCAGUUUACAAGGACAGGGACCCAUGCUUCUCCUCCCUUUCC
Molecule: long non-coding RNA, 374 nt
Filed under: Vigna radiata
Lineage: Eukaryota; Viridiplantae; Streptophyta; Magnoliopsida; Fabales; Fabaceae
Description: long non-coding RNA (VRAD_LNC010901)
Source: RNAcentral